AGAAUCUUCCGCAAUGGGCGCAAGCCUGACGGAGCGAUGCCGCGUGGGGGACGAAGGCCCUCGGGUCGUAAACCCCUGUCGCCCGGGACGAUCGUGACGGUACCGGGAAAGGAAGCCACGGCUAACCACGUGCCAGCAGCCGCGGUAACACGUGGGCGGCGAGCGUUAUUCGGAUUCACUGGGCGUAAAGGGUCCGCAGGGGGCCCGGCGCGCCCGCCGUGAAAGCCCGCGGCCCAACCGCGGGACUGCGGCGGGUACGGCCGGGCUGGAGCAUGCGAUGGGCGGACGGAACUCCGGGUGUAGCGGUGGAAUGCGUGGAUAUCCGGAAGAACACCGACGGCGAAGGCGGUCCGCCGGCGCAUUGCUGACCCUCAUGGACGAGAGCGUGGGUAGCGAACA
Molecule: ribosomal RNA, 399 nt
Filed under: uncultured bacterium
Lineage: Bacteria
Description: bacterial SSU rRNA
Rfam family: Bacterial small subunit ribosomal RNA
Source: RNAcentral